RNAcentral lists this ribosomal RNA (445 nucleotides) under uncultured bacterium. RNAcentral describes it as "bacterial SSU rRNA". It matches the Rfam family "Bacterial small subunit ribosomal RNA", at positions 958 to 1398 of the family's 1533-position model. The record is from RNAcentral.
AACGCGAAGAACCUUACCAGCCCUUGACAUGUCCCGUACGGGGCCGAGAGAUCGGCCUCAUCAGUUCGGCUGGCGGGAACACAGGUGCUGCAUGGCUGUCGUCAGCUCGUGUCGUGAGAUGUUGGGUUAAGUCCCGCAACGAGCGCAACCCUCACCUUCAGUUGCCAUCAGGUUAAGCUGGGCACUCUGAAGGAACUGCCGGUGACAAGCCGGAGGAAGGCGGGGAUGACGUCAAGUCCUCAUGGCCUUUAUGGGCUGGGCUACACACGUGCUACAAUGGCGGAUACAAAGGGUUGCGAACCCGCGAGGGGGAGCCAAUCCCAAAAAGUCCGCCCCAGUUCAGAUUGGAGUCUGCAACUCGACUCCAUGAAGCCGGAAUUGCUAGUAAUCGCGGAUCAGCACGCCGCGGUGAAUACGUUCCCGGGCCUUGUACACACCGGUACUA